AUACUUACUUGGCAGGGGAAACACCAUGACCAUGAAGGUGAUUUUCCCAGGGCGAGGCUCACCCAUUGCACUGCAACUGUGCUGACCUCUGCGAUUUCCCCAAAUGAGGGAAACUCGGCUGCACAAUUUGUGGUAGUGGCGGACCGCAUACGCACUCUUCCCUA
This is a small nuclear RNA of Tupaia belangeri (northern tree shrew), 164 nucleotides long. Its record names the gene U1. It matches the Rfam family "U1 spliceosomal RNA". From Rfam's summary of the family: U1 is a small nuclear RNA (snRNA) component of the spliceosome (involved in pre-mRNA splicing). Its 5' end forms complementary base pairs with the 5' splice junction, thus defining the 5' donor site of an intron. NCBI's taxonomy places the organism in Eukaryota, Metazoa, Chordata, Mammalia, Scandentia, Tupaiidae. The record is from Ensembl.